CUGUUGCUUGAAGAUGAGCUCGCGUCCUAUCAGCUAGUUGGUGAGGUAAUGGCUCACCAAGGCACUUGACGGGUAGCUGGUCUGAGAGGAUGUUCAGCCACACUGGGACUGAGACACUGCCCAGACUCCUACGGGAGGCUGCAGUCGAGAAUCUUUGGCAAUGGGCGAAAGCCUGACCAUGCGACGCCGCGUGAGGGAUGAAGGUCUUCGGAUUGUAAACCUCUGUCACGGGGGAGGAACAGUAAUGAAGUAAAUAGCUUCAUUAUUUGACAGUACCCCGAGAGGAAGCCACGGCCAACUCCGUGCCAGCAGCCGCGGUAAUACGGAGGUGGCAAGCGUUGUUCGGAUUUACUGGGUGUAAAGAGCGUGUAGGCGUUUUGACAAGUUAGAGGUGAAAUCCCUCGGCUCAACCGAGGAACUGCCCCUAAUACUGUCAGAAUUGAGUUUGGGAGAGGAGAGUGGAAUUUCCGGAGUAAGGGUGAAAUCUGUAGAUACCGGAAAGAACACCAGUGGCGAAGGCGACUCUCUGGCCCAAAACUGACGCUGAGACGCGAAAGCCAGGGGAGCGAACAGGAUUAGAUACCCUGGUAGUCCUGGCCGUAAACGAUGGGCACUAGGUGUCGGUUCUUAUAGGAUCGGUGCUGCAGUUAACACAUUAAGUGCCCCACCUGGGGAGUACGUCGGCAACGAUGAAACUCAAAGGAAUUGACGGGGGCCCGCACAAGCGGUGGAGCAUGUGGUUUAAUUCGAUGCUACGCGAAGAACCUUACCAGGGCUUGACAUGCAGGAAGUAGGAGUCCGAAAGGAUAACCACUCGUCAAAUCGGGAACCUGCACAGGUGCUGCAUGGCUGUCGUCAGCUCGUGUCGUGAGAUGUUGGGUUAAGUCCCGCAACGAGCGCAACCCUUACUAUUAGUUGCUAACGGAUUAUGCUGAGCACUCUAAUGGGACUGCCAGUGAUAAACUGGAGGAAGGUGAGGAUGACGUCAAGUCAGUACGGCCCUUAUGUCCUGGGCGACACACGUGCUACAAUGGUCAGUACAAUGGGCAGCAAGACCGCGAGGUGGAGCGAAUCCCAAAAAGCUGGCCCCAGUUCGGAUUGGAGGCUGCAACUCGCCUCCAUGAAGUCGGAAUCGCUAGUAAUGGCAGGUCAGCUAUACUGCCGUGAAUACGUUCCCGGGCCUUGUACACACCGCCCGUCAAGUCAUCCGAGUUGAAUGCACCCGAAGCCACUGACUCAAUCCCGAGCAAUCGGGAAGGGAGGUGUCGAAGGUGUGUUUAGUAAGGGGGACUAAGUCGUAACAAGGUAACC
Molecule: ribosomal RNA, 1311 nt
Filed under: uncultured bacterium
Lineage: Bacteria
Description: bacterial SSU rRNA
Rfam family: Bacterial small subunit ribosomal RNA
Source: RNAcentral